GAUGAACGCUGGCGGCGUGCCUAAUACAUGCAAGUCGAGCGAACAGACGAGGAGCUUGCUCCUCUGACGUUAGCGGCGGACGGGUGAGUAACACGUGGAUAACCUACCUAUAAGACUGGGAUAACUUCGGGAAACCGGAGCUAAUACCGGAUAAUAUAUUGAACCGCAUGGUUCAAUAGUGAAAGACGGUUUUGCUGUCACUUAUAGAUGGAUCCGCGCCGCAUUAGCUAGUUGGUAAGGUAACGGCUUACAAAGGCAACGAUGCGUAGCCGACCUGAGAGGGUGAUCGGCCACACUGGAACUGAGACACGGUCCAGACUCCUACGGGAGGCGGCAGUAGGGAAUCUUCCGCAAUGGGCGAAAGCCUGACGGAGCAACGCCGCGUGAGUGAUGAAGGUCUUCGGAUCGUAAAACUCUGUUAUUAGGGAAGAACAAAUGUGUAAGUAACUAUGCACGUCUUGACGGUACCUAAUCAGAAAGCCACGGCUAACUACGUG
Molecule: ribosomal RNA, 497 nt
Filed under: uncultured bacterium
Lineage: Bacteria
Description: partial 16S ribosomal RNA
Rfam family: Bacterial small subunit ribosomal RNA
Source: RNAcentral